This 500-nucleotide ribosomal RNA is filed under the name uncultured bacterium. RNAcentral describes it as "bacterial SSU rRNA". It matches the Rfam family "Bacterial small subunit ribosomal RNA", at positions 28 to 536 of the family's 1533-position model. The record is from RNAcentral.
GAUGAACGCUGGCGGCGUGCCUCAAACAUGCAAGUCGAGCGGGGCUAUGUAAUAUCGCAAGGUAGAACAUAGCCUAGCGGCGAACGGGUGAGUAACACGUGGGUAACCUGCCUGGAAGACAGGGAUAACGAUUCGAAAGGGUCGCUAAUACCUGAUAAUAUCCUUUCAUCGCAUGGUGAUAGGAAGAAAGGGGAAACCCGCUUUCAGAUGGGCCCGCGUCCCAUCAGCUAGUUGGUAAGGUAAAGGCUUACCAAGGCGACGACGGGUAGCCGGUCUGAGAGGAUGUACGGCCACACUGGGACUGAGAUACGGCCCAGACUCCUACGGGAGGCAGCAGUUGGGAAUCUUAGGCAAUGGACGAAAGUCUGACCUAGCGACGCCGCGUGAGGGAAGAAGGCCUUCGGUUGUAAACCUCUGUCAUGGGGAAGAAGUAAGUGACGGUACCCCAAGAGGAAGCCCCUGCUAACUACGUGCCAGCAGCCGCGGUAAGGAGUAGUACA